This 253-nucleotide ribosomal RNA is filed under the name uncultured bacterium. Its description in RNAcentral is "partial 16S ribosomal RNA". It matches the Rfam family "Bacterial small subunit ribosomal RNA", at positions 524 to 776 of the family's 1533-position model. The record is from RNAcentral.
UACAGAGGGUGCAAGCGUUGUUCGGAAUUAUUGGGCGUAAAGCGCGUGUAGGCGGCUUUGCAAGUCGGGUGUGAAAGCCCUCAGCUCAACUGAGGAAGUGCGCCCGAAACUGCAGAGCUUGAGUACCGGAGAGGAUGGCGGAAUUCCCCAAGUAGAGGUGAAAUUCGUAGAUAUGGGGAGGAACACCGGUGGCGAAGGCGGCCACCUGGACGGUAACUGACGCUGAGACGCGAAAGCGUGGGUAGCAAACAGG